CCUACGGUGGCAGCAGUGAGGAAUAUUGGUCAAUGGUCGGGAGACUGAACCAGCCAAGCCGCGUGAGGGAUGAAGGUACAGAGUAUCGUAAACCUCUUUUGUCAGGGAACAAAGGCGGGGACGCGUCCCCGGAUGAGUGUACCUGAAGAAAAAGCAUCGGCUAACUCCGUGCCAGCAGCCGCGGUAAUACGGAGGAUGCGAGCGUUAUCCGGAUUUAAGGGGUGUAAAGGGUGCGCAGGCGGUCUGUUAAGUCAGCGGUGAAAGGCCGGGGCUCAACCCCGGCCCGGCCGUUGAAACUGGCAGUCUCGAGUUGGAGAGAGGUAGGCGGAAUGCGCGGUGUAGCGGUGAAAUGCAUAGAUAUCGCGCAGAACUCCGAUUGCGAAGGCAGCAUGCCGGCUCCACACUGACGCUGAGGCACGAAAGCGUGGGUAUCGAACAGGAUUAGAUACCCCUGUAGUC
RNAcentral lists this ribosomal RNA (459 nucleotides) under uncultured bacterium. RNAcentral describes it as "partial 16S ribosomal RNA". It matches the Rfam family "Bacterial small subunit ribosomal RNA", at positions 338 to 795 of the family's 1533-position model. The record is from RNAcentral.